This 253-nucleotide ribosomal RNA is filed under the name uncultured bacterium. RNAcentral describes it as "partial 16S ribosomal RNA". It matches the Rfam family "Bacterial small subunit ribosomal RNA", at positions 524 to 776 of the family's 1533-position model. The record is from RNAcentral.
GACAGAGGGUGCAAACGUUGCUCGGAAUUACUGGGCGUAAAGCGCGUGUAGGUGGAUUGGUGUGUCAGAUGUGAAAGCCCUGGGCUCAACCCAGGAACUGCACCUGAAACUACCAGUCUUGAGUGGUGGAGAGGGAAGUGGAAUUCCUGGUGUAGAGGUGAAAUUCGUAGAUAUUCGGAGGAACACCAGUGGCGAAGGCGGCUCACUGGUCCAUUACUGACGCCGAGGUGCGAAAGCGUGGGGAGCAAACAGG